Molecule: ribosomal RNA, 472 nt
Filed under: uncultured bacterium
Lineage: Bacteria
Description: bacterial SSU rRNA
Rfam family: Bacterial small subunit ribosomal RNA
Source: RNAcentral
UGGGGAAUUUUGGACAAUGGGCGAAAGCCUGAUCCAGCCAUGCCGCGUGUGUGAAGAAGGUCUUCGGAUUGUAAAGCACUUUAAGUUGGGAGGAAGGGUUGUAGAUUAAUACUCUGCAAUUUUGACGUUACCGACAGAAUAAGCACCGGCUAACUCUGUGCCAGCAGCCGCGGUAAUACAGAGGGUGCAAGCGUUAAUCGGAAUUACUGGGCGUAAAGCGCGCGUAGGUGGUUUGUUAAGUUGGAUGUGAAAUCCCCGGGCUCAACCUGGGAACUGCAUCCAAAACUGGCAAGCUAGAGUAUGGUAGAGGGUGGUGGAAUUUCCUGUGUAGCGGUGAAAUGCGUAGAUAUAGGAAGGAACACCAGUGGCGAAGGCGACCACCUGGACUGAUACUGACACUGAGGUGCGAAAGCGUGGGGAGCAAACAGGAUUAGAUACCCCUGUAGUCCCUGAGCGGGCUGGCAAGGCGCAU